This 497-nucleotide ribosomal RNA is filed under the name uncultured bacterium. RNAcentral describes it as "partial 16S ribosomal RNA". It matches the Rfam family "Bacterial small subunit ribosomal RNA", at positions 28 to 507 of the family's 1533-position model. The record is from RNAcentral.
GAUGAACGCUGGCGGCGUGCCUAAUACAUGCAAGUCGAACGAACAGACUAGGAGCGUUCUCCUCGGACGGUAGCGCCGUACGGGUGAGUAACAGAUGGGUGACCUACCUAUGAGACUGGGGUAACUUCGUGAAGCCGGGCCUCAUACCGGGGAAGGUAUUAAACCACAUGGGUCAAUAGUUAAAUACGGUGGUGCUGUCACUUAUGGAGGGAUCCGCUCCGCAUUAGCUAGUUGGUAAGGUAACUGCUUACCAAGGCAACGAUGCGUAGCCGACAUAAGAGGGUGAUCGGCCACACUGGAAGUGAGACACGGUCGAGACUCCUACGCGAGGCAGCAGUCGAGACUCCUACGGAAUGGAGGAGAGCCUGACGGAGCAACGCGGAGUGAGUGAUGAAGGACUUCGGAUCGUAAAACUAUGUUAUUAGGGAAGAACAAAUGUGUAAGUAACUAUGAACGUAUUGACGGUACCUAAUCAGAAAGCCACGGCUAACUACGUG